UCUCCGUAGGUGAACCUGCGGAGGGAUCAUUACUGAGUGAGGGCUCACGCCCGACCUCCAACCCUUUGUGAACCAAACUUGUUGCUUCGGGGGCGACCCUGCCGACGACUUCGUCGCCGGGCGCCCCCGGAGGCCUUCAAACACUGCAUCUUUGCGUCGGAGUUUAAGUAAAUUAAACAAAACUUUCAACAACGGAUCUCUUGGUUCUGGCAUCGAUGAAGAACGCAGC
RNAcentral lists this unclassified non-coding RNA (229 nucleotides) under uncultured fungus. Its description in RNAcentral is "sequence contains ITS1, 5.8S rRNA gene". The stretch from base 181 to 229 matches the Rfam family "5.8S ribosomal RNA", at positions 1 to 49 of the family's 154-position model. The record is from RNAcentral. Lineage: Eukaryota; Fungi.